This 1650-nucleotide long non-coding RNA is filed under the name Malus domestica (apple). RNAcentral's name for it is "long non-coding RNA (MDOM_LNC011021)". The record is from RNAcentral. Lineage: Eukaryota; Viridiplantae; Streptophyta; Magnoliopsida; Rosales; Rosaceae.
UUUUAUUGAACAAAUUGAGAAUGCCGAGACGGCUACAAAAACCCUAGAGACUACAUUGUGACUGACUUAUAUUCUAAUGAAUAACAAAGCAACCUAUUUAUAAUAAACUAAACUUAAUCUCUAACAAAACCUAAUUCUAACGGGCUAAGCCCAAAAUACCAAACAUUAAAAUAAACUAAAUAAUAAUAUUUUCCAACACCCCCCGUCAAACUUAUGGCGGUUCACGACAUGGGUUUGCCAAAGUAGAUGUGGAUGCAAAACUCCAAAUUCCAAUGCUAGUGCCAAUGCCGAUGCCGAUGCCAAUACCGAUGCCAAUUUUCGAACAAACAAACAAAAAAUCCAACCAAAUUUUUUAUUUUUUAUUUGCCUUUGCCCGCAUGAGCCUAAACCUCAAACAAUUUUUUCAAAAACUUUUUCCUCUUUUUUCUCUUGUUUUUUCCUUUUCUUUGCUUUGCUUUUCCUUUCUUUUUUUACAUGGGGCGUUCUCCUGAUCACGUAAAACAAUGCAGCAAUUCCAUUCCAAAUUGCAGACCGAGUUGGUGCGGAUACAGUGCGACUGCUGAAGGGUGCAGAAAACGGAUAGGGUGCUGAUGAGACUGUGCGGUGCAUAUGCAGGUGGUGUCGAUGCUGGUGGGAGAUGCAGAUUCAACGUGCGUAUUCAGACGGCGAUAGACAAAUGAAUAUCAAACAAGCAGAUUAAAUCCCGAAAGAUCAAACCUACUCUGAUACCAAGUUGAAUAUCAGAGUGCGGAACAAAUAAGACUACAAAAUAAUAGGAAUUUUAUUGAACAAAUUGAGAAUGCCGAGACGGCUACAAAAACCCUAGAGACUACAUUGUGACUGACUUAUAUUCUAAUGAAUAACAAAGCAACCUAUUUAUAAUAAACUAAACUUAAUCUCUAACAAAACCUAAUUCUAACGGGCUAAGCCCAAAAUACCAAACAUUAAAAUAAACUAAAUAAUAAUAUUUUCCAACAAUUCCUGAAGAAUGUGUAAGUCGUUCUCUUUUGUUUGACAUAGCACGACUAACAUGAACAUUUCCUUAUGAUCUGGUAAAUUUUAUGGAUAUGAAAGAAAUGACUUCCCUACACUAGUUAAUUUGUAGAGGAAAAGAGGCGUGUGAGGUUCCAUCAUAUGGCAUGUCUGUACGCAUAUAUGAAGGUGCUAGGAAAUUGACAUCUCCACACAGUGGCAUUUUUGCGCUAGCGCUAUAAAGAAACUCUGAAGACCGCGAAAAUUUUGAAGACUACAACGCUUAAAAGAAAACAAAGGAAAAGAAAGGAGCAAACCGACCUAGCAUUUUUCCUAAGAUGCAAAGUAGCAGCGAAGAGCGACAAGAAGCAUCCCUGUCGACGAUCCACCGUUUGGUCAGACAAAGCCCUUGAAGAUGCAAGCAGCCCCUCUCCACUCCAGAAGCCAUGCAUCUCGUGAGCAAAGCCGUUGGACAAGAAAGUCACAGCAAGCAGUCAAUUUGGAUGAACAGAGUUAGAGAAGGAAGUCGCAUCAAUGUUACAACAAAAAGGAGGAUACUUCCAGCAAAGAAAGACAAAAGCAACCCCGUCGCAGCCAAAUUUAAAAUAAAAAACAAAAAAUAAAAAAUAAAAAAAAACCCCGUCGCAGCCCAUGUCUUGUAGUCAAGAAGAAGAGAAA